RNAcentral lists this ribosomal RNA (497 nucleotides) under uncultured bacterium. RNAcentral describes it as "partial 16S ribosomal RNA". It matches the Rfam family "Bacterial small subunit ribosomal RNA", at positions 28 to 507 of the family's 1533-position model. The record is from RNAcentral.
GACGAACGCUGGCGACGUGCCUAAUACAUGCAAGUUGAGCGAUGAAGAUUGGUGCUUGCACCAAUUUGAAGAGCAGCGAACGGGUGAGUAACGCGUGGGGAAUCUGCCUUUGAGCGGGGGACAACAUUUGGAAACGAAUGCUAAUACCGCAUAACAACUUUAAACAUAAGUUUUAAGUUUGAAAGAUGCAAUUGCAUCACUCAAAGAUGAUCCCGCGUUGUAUUAGCUAGUUGGUGAGGUAAAGGCUCACCAAGGCGAUGAUACAUAGCCGACCUGAGAGGGUGAUCGGACAAAUUGGGACUGAGAGACGGCCAAAACUACUACGGGAGGCAGCAGUCGGGAAUCUUCGGCAAUGGAAGAAAGUCUGACCGAGCAACGCCGCGUGAGUGAAGAAGGUUGUCGGAUCGUAAAAAUCUGUUGGUAGAGAAGAACGUUGGUGAGAGUGGAAAGCUCAUAAAGUGACGGUAACUACACAGAAAGGGACGGCUAACUACGUG